RNAcentral lists this ribosomal RNA (492 nucleotides) under uncultured bacterium. RNAcentral's name for it is "bacterial SSU rRNA". It matches the Rfam family "Bacterial small subunit ribosomal RNA", at positions 903 to 1397 of the family's 1533-position model. The record is from RNAcentral.
AAAUGAAUAGACGGGGGCCCGCACAAGCGGAGGAACAUGUGGUUUAAUUCGAUGAUACGCGAGGAACCUUACCUGGGUUUAAAUGCAGGACGCCGUCCCGAGAAAUCGGGAUUUCUUCGGACGGACUGCAAGGUGCUGCAUGGUUGUCGUCAGCUCGUGCCGUGAGGUGUCGGAUUAAGUUCCAUAACGAGCGCAACCCCUAUCGUUAGUUACCAGCGGAUAAUGCCGGGGACUCUAACGAGACUGCCGGUGUAAACCGAGAGGAAGGUGGGGAUGACGUCAAAUCAGCACGGCCCUUAUAUCCAGGGCUACACACGUGUUACAAUGGCCAGUACAAAGGGCAGCUACCUCGCGAGAGGAUGCUAAUCUCCAAAACUGGUCUCAGUUCGGAUUGGAGUCUGCAACUCGACUCCAUGAAGCUGGAUUCGCUAGUAAUCGCGCAUCAGCCAUGGCGCGGUGAAUACGUUCCCGGGCCUUGUACACACCGCCCGU